RNAcentral lists this ribosomal RNA (377 nucleotides) under uncultured bacterium. RNAcentral describes it as "bacterial SSU rRNA". It matches the Rfam family "Bacterial small subunit ribosomal RNA", at positions 790 to 1167 of the family's 1533-position model. The record is from RNAcentral.
GUAGUCCAUGCUGUAAACGGUGGGCGUUAGGUGUGGGGACCGGUUUGGUUUCUGUGCCGUAGCUAACGCAUUAAGCGCCCCGCCUGGGGAGUACGGCCGCAAGGCUAAAACUCAAAGGAAUUGACGGGGGCCCGCACAAGCGGCGGAGCAUGUGGAUUAAUUCGAUGCAACGCGAAGAACCUUACCUGGGUUUGACAUGCACCAGACGGUUGUAGAGAUACGUACCUCCCUUUGUGGUUGGUGUGCAGGUGGUGCAUGGUUGUCGUCAGCUCGUGUCGUGAGAUGUUGGGUUAAGUCCCGCAACGAGCGCAACCCUUGUCUUAUGUUGCCAGCACUUUGGGUGGGGACUCAUGAGAGACUGCCGGGGUUAACUCGGA